This 459-nucleotide ribosomal RNA is filed under the name uncultured bacterium. RNAcentral describes it as "partial 16S ribosomal RNA". It matches the Rfam family "Bacterial small subunit ribosomal RNA", at positions 338 to 795 of the family's 1533-position model. The record is from RNAcentral.
CCUACGGGUGGCAGCAGUAGGUAAUAUUGCUCAAUGGGGGACACCCUGAACCAGCCAAGCCGCGUGAGGGAUGAAGGUACAGAGUAUCGUAAACCUCUUUUGUCAGGGAACAAAGGCGGGGACGUGUCCCCGGAUGAGUGUACCUGAAGAAAAAGCAUCGGCUAACUCCGUGCCAGCAGCCGCGGUAAUACGGAGGAUGCGAGCGUUAUCCGGAUUUAUUGGGUUUAAAGGGUGCGCAGGCGGUCUGUUAAGUCAGCGGUAAAAGCCCGGGGCUCAACCCCGGCCCGCCGUUGAAACUGGCAGUCUCGAGUUGGAGAGAAGUAUGCGGAAUGCGCGGUGUAGCGGUGAAAUGCAUAGAUAUCGCGCAGAACUCCGAUUGCGAAGGCAGCAUGCCGGCUCCACACUGACGCUGAGGCACGAAAGCGUGGGUAUCGAACAGGAUUAGAUACCCCAGUAGUC